UCGAAGGUUCUGGAGAGGACUGCA
Molecule: microRNA, 24 nt
Filed under: Glycine max (soybean)
Lineage: Eukaryota; Viridiplantae; Streptophyta; Magnoliopsida; Fabales; Fabaceae
Description: gma-miR4386
Source: miRBase by way of RNAcentral